AUUAAAGUAGUUUAAGUAAAACAAAACAUUUUCGUUGUUUAGAUGGGAAUAGUCCUUUUUAAUU
Molecule: transfer RNA, 64 nt
Filed under: Sminthurus viridis
Lineage: Eukaryota; Metazoa; Arthropoda; Collembola; Symphypleona; Sminthuridae
Description: tRNA-Glu
Source: RNAcentral